AUUGAACGCUGGCGGCAGGCCUAACACAUGCAAGUCGAACGGUAACAGGAAGAAGCUUGCUUCUUUGCUGACGAGUGGCGGACGGGUGAGUAAUGUCUGGGAAACUGCCUGAUGGAGGGGGAUAACUACUGGAAACGGUAGCUAAUACCGCAUAACGUCGCAAGACCAAAGAGGGGGACCUUCGGGCCUCUUGCCAUCGGAUGUGCCCAGAUGGGAUUAGCUAGUAGGUGGGGUAACGGCUCACCUAGGCGACGAUCCCUAGCUGGUCUGAGAGGAUGACCAGCCACACUGGAACUGAGACACGGUCCAGACUCCUACGGGAGGCAGCAGUGGGGAAUAUUGCACAAUGGGCGCAAGCCUGAUGCAGCCAUGCCGCGUGUAUGAAGAAGGCCAUCGGGUUGUAAAGUACUUUCAGCGGGGAGGAAGGGAGUAAAGUUAAUACCUUUGCUCAUUGACGUUACCCGCAGAAGAAGCACCGGCUAACUCCGUG
RNAcentral lists this ribosomal RNA (490 nucleotides) under uncultured bacterium. RNAcentral's name for it is "partial 16S ribosomal RNA". It matches the Rfam family "Bacterial small subunit ribosomal RNA", at positions 30 to 507 of the family's 1533-position model. The record is from RNAcentral.